This 1432-nucleotide ribosomal RNA is filed under the name metagenome. Its description in RNAcentral is "bacterial SSU rRNA". It matches the Rfam family "Bacterial small subunit ribosomal RNA". The record is from RNAcentral.
AGAGUUUGAUCCUAGCUCAGGAUGAACGCUGGCGGCGUGGAUAAGGCAUGCAAGUCGAACGAAUUGCUUUCGGGCAAUUAGUGGCGAACGGGUUAGUAACACGUAGGAAUCUCACCCAAAGUCUGGGAUAACUCGGAGAAAUCCGAGCUAAUACCGGAUAGUCCCGCAAGGGUAAAGUUUUUCGCUUUGGGAAGAGCCUGCGUCCUAUCAGCUUGUUGGUGAGGUAAAAGCCCACCAAGGCUAUGACGGGUAGGGGAUGUGAGAGCAUGGCCCCCAACAAUGAAACUGCGACACGGUUCAUACACCUACGGGUGGCAGCAGUCGAGAAUCUUCCACAGUGGGCGAAAGCCUGAUGGAGCGACGCCGCGUGAAUGAUGAAGCUCUUCGGAGUGUAAAAUUCUUUUCUAAAGGAGAAAUCUUUUAGAUGAUGUUACUUUAGGAAUAAGGGGUUGCUAACUCUGUGCCAGCAGCAGCGGUAAUACAGAGACCCCAAGCGUUAUCCGGAAUUACUGGGCGUAAAGCGUGAGUAGGCGGUUUUAAUAGUGACUGGUUAAAUUCCGGGGCUUAACCUCGGAACUGCUGGUCAAACGUUAAAACUAGAGCAAAUGAGAGGCUGAUGGAACCUAUCAAGUAGGGGUGAAAUCCGUUGAUAUGAUAGGGAACACCAAAGGCGAAGGCAUUCAGCUGGCAUUUGGCUGACGCUGAGUCACGAAAGCGUGGGUAGCGAACGAGAUUAGAUACCUCGGUAGUCCACGCCGUAAACGAUGCUAACUCGCCGUUUGAAGUAUCGACCCUUCAAGUGGCCAAGCAAACGCGUUAAGUUAGCCGCCUGGGAAGUACGGUCGCAAGACUAAAACUCAAAGGAAUAGACGGGGACUUGCACAAGCGGUGGACCAUGUGGUUUAAUUCGACUCUAAGCGAGGAACCUCACCAGGGCUAGACAUCCUGAUGAAAGCCUAAUGAAAGUUGGGCCCUCUUCGGACAUCAGGGUCAGGUGUUGCACGGUUGUCGUCAGCUCGAGUCUUGAGAUGUUCCCUUAAGUGGGGUAUCGAGCGCAACCCUCAUCCUAUGUUAUACAUGUCAUAGGAAACUGCCUCCGUAUAGGGGGAGGAAGGCGAGGACGACGCCAAAUCAGCGUGGCCCUUUGACGCCCUGGGCUACACACGUGGUACAAUGGCCAAGACAAUGGGUUGCCAAGCCGUAAGGCGGAGCUAAUCCCAUCAAACUUGGUCCCAGUUCGGAUUGAAGGCUGCAAUUCGCCUUCAUGAAGCCGGAAUCGCUAGUAAUCGCGAAUCAGCCAUGUCGCGGUGAAUACGUUAUCAAGUCUUGUACUCACUGCCCGUCAUACUAGGGAAGCCGGUAGUGCCCAAAGCCUCUCUUUCGAGAGGGUCUAAGGCAAGAUCGGUAACCAGAGUAAAGUCGUAACAAGGCA